AACCGCGGUUAUACGAAAGGCCCAAGUAGACAAUCUUCGGCGUAAAGAGUGGUUUAUUUUAUCUUACUAAAGCCAAACACCCUCAAGACUGUCAUACGUGUUCGAGAACACAGUAGGUCCCCCCACGAAAGUAGCUUUACUUUAUUAAUACCACUAAAGCUGAGGCA
RNAcentral lists this ribosomal RNA (167 nucleotides) under Lepadichthys lineatus (doubleline clingfish). RNAcentral's name for it is "partial 12S rRNA". The record is from RNAcentral. Lineage: Eukaryota; Metazoa; Chordata; Actinopteri; Blenniiformes; Gobiesocidae.